GGGCUGGGGGCUGCCAAAUAGUGGGGCUGGGGGCUGCCAUAUAGUGGGAGUCGGGGCUGCCAAAUAGUGGGGCUGGGGGCUGCCAAAUUGUGGGGCUGGGGGCUGCCAAAUUGUGGGGCUGGGGGCUGCCAUAUAGUGGGGCUGGGGGCUGCCAAAUAGUGGGGCUGGGCGCCGCUCACCGAGAAGUAGAGGGCGGCCGGGGUCCCGUUGAGCCGCAGCUGCAUUGGGGUCUCCAUGUUGAAGGGGGUGGAGAAGUUGGAGGGCCAGGGGGUGGGGAUGGAGGCGUUGGGGGCACCCAGGGCCCAGUAGGCCUCGAACACUUUGCCCACGUCCUGCGCCGCGCAGCUGCAGUUGUAGAUGGCGACGCCCAGCUCCUUCACCUGCGGGUGCCGAGAGCACGGAGCCGGGGUCACCAACCCCACACAACCCCACACAACCCCACCAAAACCUCAUCAAAACCCCACACAACCCCAUCAACACCCAAUACAACCCAGCAAACCCCCACCAAAACCCAUCAAAACCCAACACAACCCAACACAACCCAACACAACCCAACACAACUCAACACAACCCAACACAACCCCACACAACCCCACCAAAACCCAACACAACCCAACACACCCCAACAAAACCCCAUCAAAACCCAUCAAAACUCAACACAACCCCACACAACCCAACACAACUCAACACAACCCUCCUGAAACCCCACACAACCCCAUCAAAACCCAACACAACCCAACACAACCCCAACACAACCCCAAAACAACACAACCCCACACAACCCCACACAACCCCACACAACCCAGCACAACCCCAUGGAGUCACCAAUCCCAUCCCAUCCCCAUCAGUGUGGGUCACCACCCCCAUCCCAGCGCCACGGGAAGCAUCACCGACCCCCUGAAGGGGACGCGGUGCGGCUGGGGGUGACGGGGGACUCCGAGCCAUUUUUGGGGUGGAUUUGGGUUUUUUUGGGUCCCCACCUGGGUGAGGGAGCGCCAGUCCAUGUUGGCACUGCCGAUGUAGAGGUGGGCGCCGUCCACGACCCACAGCUUGGUGUGCAGCACCCCGCCUGCCAGCCGCCCCACAUCCACCAUCCGCACCGCAGCACCUGGGGGGCAACGAGUCCCCAGAGCCCACCUCUGGGACCCCCAUAUCCC
This 1157-nucleotide long non-coding RNA is filed under the name Phasianus colchicus (ring-necked pheasant). RNAcentral describes it as "lncRNA (ENSPCLG00000013829.1)". Lineage: Eukaryota; Metazoa; Chordata; Aves; Galliformes; Phasianidae. The record is from RNAcentral.